This 102-nucleotide non-coding RNA is filed under the name Oxobacter pfennigii. RNAcentral's name for it is "Guanine sequence". It matches the Rfam family "Purine riboswitch aptamer". Rfam says of the family: Riboswitches are metabolite binding domains within certain messenger RNAs that serve as precision sensors for their corresponding targets. Allosteric rearrangement of mRNA structure is mediated by ligand binding, and this results in modulation of gene expression. The record is from Rfam by way of RNAcentral. Lineage: Bacteria; Bacillati; Bacillota; Clostridia; Eubacteriales; Clostridiaceae.
AAACUGAAUAUAAAGUUCGCCCGUAUAUACCCGGUAAUAUGGUCCGGGUGUUUCUACCAGACUGCCGCAAAUUGUCUGACUAUGGGUGUUUGUAAGCAUAAU